RNAcentral lists this ribosomal RNA (253 nucleotides) under uncultured bacterium. Its description in RNAcentral is "partial 16S ribosomal RNA". It matches the Rfam family "Bacterial small subunit ribosomal RNA", at positions 524 to 776 of the family's 1533-position model. The record is from RNAcentral.
UACAGAGGUCUCAAGCGUUGUUCGGAAUUACUGGGCGUAAAGGGCUCGUAGGCGGCCAACUAAGUCGGACGUGAAAUCCCUCGGCUUAACCGGGGAACUGCGUCCGAUACUGGAUGGCUUGAGAUUGGGAGAGGGAUGCGGAAUUCCAGGUGUAGCGGUGAAAUGCGUAGAUAUCUGGAGGAACACCGGUGGCGAAGGCGGCAUCCUGGACCAACACUGACGCUGAGGAGCGAAAGCCAGGGGAGCAAACGGG